GCGGGUAUAGCUCAGGGGUAGAGCAACAGCCUUCCAAGCUGAAGACGCGGGUUCGAUUCCCGCUACCCGCUCCA
RNAcentral lists this transfer RNA (74 nucleotides) under Hyphomicrobiales bacterium. RNAcentral describes it as "tRNA-Gly". It matches the Rfam family "tRNA". Rfam says of the family: Transfer RNA (tRNA) molecules are approximately 80 nucleotides in length. Their secondary structure includes four short double-helical elements and three loops (D, anti-codon, and T loops). Further hydrogen bonds mediate the characteristic L-shaped molecular structure. tRNAs have two regions of fundamental functional importance: the anti-codon, which is responsible for specific mRNA codon recognition, and the 3' end, to which the tRNAs corresponding amino acid is attached (by aminoacyl-tRNA synthetases). tRNAs cope with the degeneracy of the genetic code in two manners: having more than one tRNA (with a specific anti-codon) for a particular amino acid; and 'wobble' base-pairing, i.e. permitting non-standard base-pairing at the 3rd anti-codon position. RNAcentral also lists the same sequence under 4 other names. Lineage: Bacteria; Pseudomonadati; Pseudomonadota; Alphaproteobacteria; Hyphomicrobiales. The record is from RNAcentral.